GGGCUCGUAGUCUAGUUGGUUAUGACGUCGCCUUGACGAGGCGGAGGUCAGGAGUUCGAAUCUCCUCGAGCCCA
Molecule: transfer RNA, 74 nt
Filed under: Thermoplasmata archaeon
Lineage: Archaea; Methanobacteriati; Thermoplasmatota; Thermoplasmata
Also listed under: 1 other name
Description: tRNA-Val
Rfam family: tRNA
About the family: Transfer RNA (tRNA) molecules are approximately 80 nucleotides in length. Their secondary structure includes four short double-helical elements and three loops (D, anti-codon, and T loops).
Source: RNAcentral